Acipenser ruthenus (sterlet) is the source of this 2877-nucleotide long non-coding RNA. RefSeq lists it as uncharacterized. The record is from RefSeq and is a predicted model, not a curated record. The transcript is spliced from 2 exons. NCBI's taxonomy places the organism in Eukaryota, Metazoa, Chordata, Actinopteri, Acipenseriformes, Acipenseridae.
AAUGGACAGUGCAACAACACUUGUAAAACAGAUACUGCAAACAACUCGCAAAGUAACCCUAUGUAUUGAUGGAUGGAGCAAGAAAGGUCUGACAGCCUCCUACAUGGGAAUUUCUGCCUGCUUCUACAAUCCAUCUGCAAAAGAAGCUCAACAUGUUUUUAUCAACCUACAUCGAAUUUCUCACCCACAUACAGGAGAGGUGAUUGCUAAAUGUAUUGAACACACACUCACUACCUGGGACAUUACAGAAGAAAAUGUACUACUGAUCGUCACAGAUAAUGGCGCCAACAUUGUGAAAGCCAUUAAGAUACUGGCGCAAAGUGGCAAGGUUUGUGAGGCUACUGAAAAAGCAGUGGAAUAUGCUGAAAACUCUGAAGACGAGCCUGAUGACAUCGAUGCAAGCAGCGCGGAUCAAGGCUCUGAUACCAGUGUGGAUUCAGCUGAAGAAGACUUAUUUCAAGAUGCUGAUCUGUCUAAGUACACAAGGAUGCCAUGUCUGGCACAUACCCUGCAGCUCACUCUGAAGGAUGCCUUCAAAUAUCCCAGUACUGGAAAUGUAAUUAGCAGAGCUAGAAGCCUGGUGAAUACUGUACGUAAAUCUUCAGUGGCCACUGAAAAAAUGAUUUCUAAGUGUGGCAAAACACAAAUUAAAGACUGCGUGACACGUUGGAAUAGUACUCUGAACAUGAUGAAGAGACUUCUGGAGACCAAGAUUGUUUUGAACCAAGUUCUUGCUCACCAGUGAUUGGUCCAAACUGGAGCAACUUGUGAAGUUGUUUGAACCAUUUGCAGUACAUACAGAUCAGCUCCAGACUGAUAGCCAGUCUCUGUCUGAAGUUGUGCCCUGCCUAUUGAAUCUAGAAGCACACUUACAGUCAUCAGUCAUCUCAAAACCACUUGAUCAGAUUAUGCUGAAGUCACUUCGUGAACGCUUUGCUUGUUUACUGAACCCUCAAGCAGCAGAUUUUGAUGCCACACCUGCAGCAGCUUGCCUGAUGGACCCAACUGCUGCCUUUGCACUUUUCACAACAGAGAUGGAAAGCCUCAUGAAAGCAGCCAGGUCUUGUGUCCUUCAGCAUGCUGCACACUACAGCAGUCCUUCAGUGUCACAACAACAAAAGUCCAGUGUCAACCCCCAAUGCCCUACCAGUGCUAGUGCUGAAGGAACUGUGUUAAAGAGGUUCAAGUUUUUGGCUUGCAAGAUUGGGGCUGAACUCACUCCAACAUCUGGCAAUACCACUGGCAAUGCAGGAAGUGCACAUACUGAACUUUCCACAUAUAUCUCCGAACUGAAGCAAGGCAAAGUAUGCUGUGAGACUGAGACUCCUUUGAAAUUUUGGCAAAAUAAGGAGAUUGUGUAUCCAAGGCUUGCACCAGUUGCUGAAGAUUUUCUUGCAGCCCCUGCAUCCCAAGCAUUUGUAAAGAGGAUUUUCUCUGUGUGUGGACAGCUAUCAUCUGGACGAAGGAAUUGGAUGGAUACAUCUCUGGAACAAAGAGUGUUUCUGAAGAUGAAUCAGAAACUGUUGCUUUCUAACAGCACUAACAACUAGGGACAAUAUUUUGGAGCACUUCACUUAACACCUGUACAGGGCCCACGAUUGGUUUAGAGUGAAAACUGAAACUGAAACUGAAAUUAUCACAAAACGAAAAUUGAAAUAGAAAUGAUCGUUAAAACGAAAAUUGAAAUAGAAAUGGUUAAGAACAUCCUUAUCAAAACUGAAACUGCAACUGAAAUUGAGGGAAAGAAAAAAAUAGAAUUGAAAUAGAAACUUAAAUAAAAGUUACAACUGAAAUAAAACUGAUAUCCACACCCCACAGCAGAAAAGAGACACAAUUCAGUUAUGAGAAAUGCCUGAAGUGUUGUUUUUGUUUCUUAAUUAAUAUUUUGCAUUUUCUGGUUACUAUCAUGCGGUUUAUAUCUGUGUUUAUAUAGUGCUAUGGAUGUCAGGGUGGUAUCGCACUGUAUCACCACCAGGACUACCAAACAAUUGAAUAAUACAGAAUGGACCACUAGCCCUUUGAACAACAAAACCAAAACUAGCUCCGCUGGAGCCCGAGGGCUCUAGUCUGAUGAAACGAGUGCAAUCGCAGACACAGUGGUUAAAGUCAAACGCGUCUGCCCCGUAGGGCGUGGCUUCUCAAAAGUGCGAUUCUGAUCAAAAUAAAAACCCAGCGCAAGCAUGUUUAGUGGCGCAGUGACAGCGCCCAGCCAAUCAAUGCUGAGUAUGUUGGGGAAUCUGCUAUCCAAUCAGGGCAAGGCAAAAUCCCGGCACCGCAAGGCUCCGUUUUGAAUGUAAAAGAGCUGAUAAUGUCGAGCGGCAGUAGCACAGCGCAAGAAAAACAGUGCAAACACUAGGUCACUCGCCGAGAGAAUACGUAAACCAUGCUUCACGACACAGGAGAUUGCUAUAUUAAUAGAAGAGGUAUUGGCACAUAGGGCAAUCAUUUAUUAUUUAUAAUAAUUAUAGAAGUUACAUUAUUUAAUUGCAUUGAUUUUACUACAUGUAAAAUGUAAAAUACUUCCUACCCGCCCUGAUCUGUCUACCAGUAGCAGCAGCUGAUUCAUUUUCUAGCGGGACAUGAUGUGCCGCAUCACGUUCCCUCUGAGCUUGUAAUGUACUAGAGUUUCAAUAUAACCAGGGCUUUAAUUCUCAUGGAGUAUUUCCCAGAGCCCAAGCAUCCCCGUCCCCCCCUCCCGCGUUUGCGAAAAGAUUAUGUAAAGAAUACAAGUACAGCUAACUUAUUAUUACUGUUAGGCCCUAACAUUUAUUAGCAAAAUAAAUCAAAACGUUUUAGUAAUUAAAAUUAACCUAGUUAUCUGCAGUAUGUGUUAAUCCUGAUCGUGCUGUUUGUUCAGUUACUUGUUCAUAGUGUGUG